Long non-coding RNA from Zalophus californianus (California sea lion), 255 nucleotides. RefSeq lists it as uncharacterized. The record is from RefSeq and is a predicted model, not a curated record. The transcript is spliced from 2 exons. Lineage: Eukaryota; Metazoa; Chordata; Mammalia; Carnivora; Otariidae.
GGGAAUGAGGCUGGAGAAGGAGGUUCCUGCGGGAGACCCCGUGUGGGAAUGACUCAUUGCUCGCAUCUUCCUGGCGACAGGGUGGCUGAUAAGAGAAGAUGGGCUGGAAGGAACGGGGGCUGGAGAGAUGAAGUGCUGAUUUACAUCUUGUCUCCGCUCACCCGGAAGAUUCUUGGAGACCCAUGCAUCCCUACGCUCCGUAAAUGUACUUAAUACUGUGUCUUAGGCAAUAAAUGCAUUUUGUUUUGGGUGUGA